UGGGGAAUAUUGCACAAUGGGCGCAAGCCUGAUGCAGCCAUGCCGCGUGUGUGAAGAAGGCCUUCGGGUUGUAAAGCACUUUCAGCGAGGAGGAAGGUGGUGAGCUUAAUACGCUCAUCAAUUGACGUUACUCGCAGAAGAAGCACCGGCUAACUCCGUGCCAGCAGCCGCGGUAAUACGGAGGGUGCAAGCGUUAAUCGGAAUUACUGGGCGUAAAGCGCACGCAGGCGGUUUGUUAAGUCAGAUGUGAAAUCCCCGGGCUCAACCUGGGAACUGCAUUUGAAACUGGCAAGCUAGAGUCUCGUAGAGGGGGUAGAAUUCCAGGUGUAGCGGUGAAAUGCGUAGAGAUCUGGAGGAAUACCGGUGGCGAAGGCGGCCCCCUGGACGAAGACUGACGCUCAGGUGCGAAAGCGUGGGGCAGCAAACAGGAUUAGAUACCCUGGUAGUCCACGCUGUAAAACGAUGUCGAUUUGGAGGUUGUGCCCUUGAGGCGUGGCUUCCGGAGCUAACGCGUUAAAUCGACCGCCUGGGGAGUACGGCCGCAAGGUUAAAACUCAAAGGAAUUG
Molecule: ribosomal RNA, 566 nt
Filed under: uncultured bacterium
Lineage: Bacteria
Description: partial 16S ribosomal RNA
Rfam family: Bacterial small subunit ribosomal RNA
Source: RNAcentral